RNAcentral lists this ribosomal RNA (482 nucleotides) under uncultured bacterium. RNAcentral describes it as "partial 16S ribosomal RNA". It matches the Rfam family "Bacterial small subunit ribosomal RNA", at positions 28 to 523 of the family's 1533-position model. The record is from RNAcentral.
AGUGAACGUUGGCGGCGUGGAUUAGGCAUGCAAGUCGAGCGAGAACCGUAGCAAUACGGGGACAGCGGCGAAAGGGACAGUAAUGUGUAGGUACCUACCUCCGGGUUCGGGAUAGCUGCGGGAAACUGCAGGUAAUACCGAAUAACGUCUCCGGACCAAAGGUGUGAUUCCACCUGGAGAGGGGCCUGCAUUCUAUUAGCUUGUUGGCGGGGUAACGGCCCACCAAGGCGAAGAUGGGUAGGGGGUGUGAGAGCACGACCCGCGUCAUUGGGACUGAGACACUGCCCAGACACCUACGGGUGGCUGCAGUCGUGAAUCAUCGGCAAUGGGCGCAAGCCUGACCGAGCGACGCCGCGUGCGGGAUGAAGGCCUUCGGGUUGUAAACCGCUGUCGUAGAGGAGGAAAUGCAGGGGGGUUCUCCCCUCUGUUUGACCUAUUCUAGGAGGAAGUACGGGCUAAGUUCGUGCCAGCCGCCGCCGUAA